GGGAGACAAUGGCCCCGGGGCGAUCUCCACUGCCAGUUGGGGCCACCAAGCUAUUGGGAGGGAGUGGCCAUCCCCAGUGGGGUUGGGAAAUAGAGACAGAGGUUACAGUGGGCGGCCGCAGCCCUGUGAGAGCCACAAAGUUCCUUCAGCGGCAAAGACCAGGGCCCCAGGGCUGAGCUGAGUUCCCGUGGCCAUGGGACCCGGUCUCCUGGUCGUCUGCUUCCUGUGCACCAUGGCCUUGACUGAUGACACCUGUCCAGAGGUGAAGGUGGUGGGCGUAGAGGGCUCCGACAAGCUCACAAUUCUCCGAGGCUGCCCGGGGCUGCCGGGGGCCCCAGGACCAAAGGGAGAGGCAGGUGCCAAUGGACAGAGAGGAGAACGCGGCCCCCCUGGAGCCCCUGGGAAGGCAGGACCACCUGGGCUCAAGGGAGACCCUCAGGAACCCGAUCUGUGUAACACAGGCCCACGCACCUGCAAGGACUUGCGGGACCGGGGGCACUUCCUGAGCGGCUGGCACACCAUCUACCUGCCCGACUGCCAGCCCCUGACCGUGCUGUGUGACAUGGACACGGACGGAGGGGGCUGGACCGUUUUCCAGCGGAGGGUGGACGGCUCUGUGGACUUCUACCGGGACUGGGCCGCGUACAAGCAGGGCUUCGGCAGUCAGCUGGGGGAGUUCUGGCUGGGAAAUGACAACAUUCACGCUCUGACCGCCCGGGGGACCAGCGAGCUCCGCGUAGACCUGGUGGACUUUGAGGACAACCACCAAUUUGCCAAGUACAGUUCCUUCCAGAUGGCGGGCGAGGCGGAGAAGUACAGGCUGGUCCUGGGGGCCUUUGUGGAGGGCAGUGCGGGUGAUUCUCUGACAUACCACAGCAACCACUCCUUCUCCACCAAAGACCAAGACAACGACCAAGCUGCUGAGAACUGUGCUGUGCAGUAUCAGGGAGCCUGGUGGCACGUCACCUGUCACUUGUCAAAUCUGAACGGUCGCUACCUCAGGGGGGCCCAUGACAGCUUUGCCAAUGGCAUCAACUGGAAGUCAGGGAAAGGGUACCACUACAGCUACAGGGUGUCGGAGAUGAAGGUGCGGCCCGCCUAGCCCGGUGCUGGCGGCAGAGGGGCUCUGCAUGCACCCUGGCUGGAGGAGGGCAGCGUGGGGAUCAUGGCCCCAUCCUCAUGGGAAGUGGGAGCUCCCACGAGUCCCUUGUGGACAUGGCCUGCAGAGCUUUGCACCCAGCGCCGGCGUCCAGCCCCCUGCCUCCGGCCUGCAAGGCUGGGCGAAGCCCUAGUGUAUCUCCCUCACCGCAGCUGUGAGUGCUCGCUUGCCUCAAAGGGGGUCGUGGGAUGCCACGACCGUUUGCACUGCCACGCCCCUGCACUGCUCACCUGUCCUUGCCUCCCUGUGACCUGGCCCUACCGCUGGGUCAGAUGCCCUAGGGCUGAGGGCAUUAUCCACUGGCUAAGAGAAAGCAGGGCCACCGAGCCUGUUUGUGAAUAAAGUUUUAUUGGCACAGCCGUGCCCGUGGCUGCCA
Molecule: non-coding RNA, 1535 nt
Organism: Saimiri boliviensis boliviensis (Bolivian squirrel monkey)
Lineage: Eukaryota; Metazoa; Chordata; Mammalia; Primates; Cebidae
Source: RefSeq, a predicted model, not a curated record